Molecule: unclassified non-coding RNA, 590 nt
Filed under: Hevea brasiliensis (rubber tree)
Lineage: Eukaryota; Viridiplantae; Streptophyta; Magnoliopsida; Malpighiales; Euphorbiaceae
Source: RNAcentral
AUCAUACUUGAAAAUGGAGGCUGUAAAUCAAUGAGUAUCUUGAACUCCAAAAAUUUGACGCCACUACACACGUGCAUUGCGACAUGGAAUGUUGCUGUUGUCAAGAGGUGGGUGGAACUUGCAUCUAUUGAAGAUAUCGCUGAUGCUAUUGACAUACCAAGUCCUGUUGGUACUGCACUGUGCAUGGCAGCAGCCUUAAAGAAAGAUCGUGAAGCGGAGGGGAGAGAACUGGUACGAUUAAUUUUAGCUGCUGGAGCAGAUCCAGCUGCACAAGACACACAACAUUUUCGAACUGCUUUGCAUACUGCUGCUAUGAUAAAUGAUGUUGAGUUGGUCAAGAUCAUCCUCGAUGCAGGAGUUGAUGUAAACAUCAAGAAUGUGAAUAAUACAAUACCUCUUCACGUGGCAUUGAAUAGAGGUGCAAAAUCUUGUGUCGGAUUGCUUUUGUCUGCUGGGGCAAAUUGUAAUAUUCAGGAUGAUGAAGGUGAUAAUGCUUUCCAUGUGGCAGCAUUCUCUGCUAAUAUGAUACGGGAAAAUCUUGAUUGGAUUGUACUUAUGCUCAGGUAUCCUGAUGCUGCUGUUGAAGUUAG